Molecule: ribosomal RNA, 467 nt
Filed under: uncultured bacterium
Lineage: Bacteria
Description: partial 16S ribosomal RNA
Rfam family: Bacterial small subunit ribosomal RNA
Source: RNAcentral
ACGCUCGCUGGCGGCGUGCUUCACCCAUGCAAGUCGCACGGAAAGGCCCUGCUUUUGUGGGGUGCUCGAGUGGCGAACGGGUGAGUAACACGUGAGUAACCUGCCCUUGACUUUGGGAUAACUUCAGGAAACUGGGGCUAAUACCGGAUAGGAGCUCCUGCUGCAUGGUGGGGGUUGGAAAGUUUCGGCGGUUGGGGAUGGACUCGCGGCUUAUCAGCUUGUUGGUGGGGUAGUGGCUUACCAAGGCUUUGACGGGUAGCCGGCCUGAGAGGGUGACCGGCCACAUUGGGACUGAGAUACGGCCCAGACUCCUACGGGAGGCAGCAGUGGGGAAUAUUGCACAAUGGGCGGAAGCCUGAUGCAGCAACGCCGCGUGCGGGAUGACGGCCUUCGGGUUGUAAACCGCUUUCGCCUGUGACGAAGCGUGAGUGACGGUAAUGGGUAAAGAAGCACCGGCUAACUACGUG